GCCCUGGUGGUGGAACUGGUAGACACGCCAUCUUGAGGGGGUGGUGGGGAGACCCGUUUCGGUUCGAAUCCGAACCAGGGCACCA
Molecule: transfer RNA, 85 nt
Filed under: Nitrospinota bacterium
Lineage: Bacteria; Pseudomonadati; Nitrospinota
Description: tRNA-Leu
Source: RNAcentral